RNAcentral lists this ribosomal RNA (254 nucleotides) under uncultured bacterium. RNAcentral describes it as "partial 16S ribosomal RNA". It matches the Rfam family "Bacterial small subunit ribosomal RNA", at positions 524 to 776 of the family's 1533-position model. The record is from RNAcentral.
GACGUAGGGCGCGAGCGUUGUCCGGAUUUAUUGGGCGUAAAGAGCUCGUAGGCGGCUUGUUGCGUCGACUGUGAAAACCUGCGGCUCAACCGUGUGGUCUGCAGUCGAUACGGGCAGGCUGGAGUUCGGUAGGGGAGACUGGAAUUCCUGGUGUAGCGGUGAAAUGCGCAGAUAUCAGGAGGAACACCGGUGGCGAAAGCACUCUGCUGGGCCGACACUGACACUGAGAGACGAAAGCUAGGGGAGCGAAUGGG